This is an RNA transcript of Ananas comosus (pineapple), 1120 nucleotides long. It is a transcript of the gene named malignant T-cell-amplified sequence 1 homolog, with no coding region annotated. NCBI's taxonomy places the organism in Eukaryota, Viridiplantae, Streptophyta, Magnoliopsida, Poales, Bromeliaceae. The transcript is spliced from 9 exons. The record is from RefSeq and is a predicted model, not a curated record.
GCUCUUCUCCUUCUUCUUCCUCUCGCUUUGAUUCGCCCCGCUCUCGAUCUCCCGAUCUCUCUCUCUCUCUCUCUCUCUCUCUCUCUCUUCCGCCAUGUUCAAGAAGUUCUCUUUUGAAGAUAUAUCUGCACAAAAUCAAGUGAAGGCAUCUGUUCAGCGAAAAAUUCGGCAAAGCAUUGCUGAUGAGUAUCCUGGUCUUGAACCUUUACUAGAUGACCUACUUCCGAAGAAAUCACCUCUAAUUGUUGCUAAAUGUCAAAAUCAUUUAAAUCUUGUAGUGAUGAACAAUGUGCCACUAUUUUUCAAUGUCCGUGAUGGUCCUUACAUGCCAACUCUGCGGCUUCUUCAUCAAUAUCCAGAUAUAAUGAAGAAAUUUCAAGUAGAUAGGGGUGCUAUCAAGUUUGUUCUUGCUGGUGCUAAUAUAAUGUGCCCUGGUCUGACAUCACCUGGUGGCGCUUUGAAUGACGAAGUAUUGGAAGAAACACCUGUGGCUAUAAUGGCUGAGGGAAAAGAACAUGCAUUGGCAAUUGGAUUUACGAAGUUACCAGCAAAAGACAUUAGAACCGUUAAUAAGGGAAUUGGGGUAGAUAACAUGCACUAUCUAAAUGAUGGCCUGUGGAAGAUGGAGCGGCUCGAAUAACUAUGAGCACAUUAGGACCGUUGGAAUGACAUUUUGAAGAGAUUUUGUAGGCUGCAAGAACUAGCAUCUAUAGGCUAUAGCUGAAGUUUACGAAAUGCUUUACGUCGGAAGCUGCUUUGAACGACGGCACUUUUAUCUAGUGUUGUUAGCAUUGGAACUUCUUGAUGGUUGCUAUAAUGUGUGGACAUUAUACGAUACCGUAAGUUAAGUUAUGGUACCUAAAAUUUAUGAACUUCUUUUCAUGAGUUUGCGUUGUUUUAAAAGCUCACGCGGUGGAUUUUCUAGUACCUAAAAAUUAGGUCCGUCUUGGACUCUUUUGGCGGCAGAAAGGAACGUCCAGCGUCGUCUUUUACUUCCGUGCACGUUCCUUAUCCGAAUUUUUACCUCUGCUAAGCUGAAGAUAGAAUGUACCCCAAACUGUAACUUCCUACCUGCACUUCUGUUAUUUGUGGGCAACUAUAAUUAUAUUUCCUUCGAUCA